AGUGAACGCUGGCGGUAGGCCUAACACAUGCAAGUCGAACGGCAGCACAGUAAGAGCUUGCUCUUACGGGUGGCGAGUGGCGGACGGGUGAGGAAUACAUCGGAAUCUACUUUUUCGUGGGGGAUAACGUAGGGAAACUUACGCUAAUACCGCAUACGACCUACGGGUGAAAGCAGGGGAUCUUCGGACCUUGCGCGAUUGAAUGAGCCGAUGUCGGAUUAGCUAGUUGGCGGGGUAAAGGCCCACCAAGGCGACGAUCCGUAGCUGGUCUGAGAGGAUGAUCAGCACCACGGGAACUGAGACACGGUCCAGACCCCGACGGGAGGCAGCAGUGGGGAAUAUUGGACAAUGGGCGCAAGCCUGAUCCAGCCAUACCGCGUGGGUGAAGAAGGCCUUCGGGUUGUAAAGCCCUUUUGUUGGGAAAGAAAAGCAGCAGGUUAAUACCCCGCUGUUCUGACGGUACCCAAAGAAUAAGCACCGGCUAACUUCGU
Molecule: ribosomal RNA, 491 nt
Filed under: uncultured bacterium
Lineage: Bacteria
Description: partial 16S ribosomal RNA
Rfam family: Bacterial small subunit ribosomal RNA
Source: RNAcentral